GACGGGUGAGUAACACGUAGAUAACCUGCCCUCAAGACGGGGACAACCGGUGGAAACAGCGGCUAAUACCCGAUAUGCUCACAGGAUCGGGAGAUCGAGUGAGGAAAGCGCCCCUUCGGGGGAGAGUGUUUGAGGAGGGAUCUGCGGCCCAUCAGCUAGUUGGUGAGGUAACGGCUCACCAAGGCGAAGACGGGUAGGGGGUGUGAGAGCAUGGCCCCCCACAAUGGGACUGAGACACGGCCCAUACUCCUACGGGAGGCAGCAGCGGGGAAUAUUGCGCAAUGGACGGAAGUCAGACGCAGCGACGCCGCGUGGGUGAGGAAGGCCUUCGGGUUGUAAAGCCCUUUUCAGGGGAGCGAGAAAGGACGGUACCCUUGGAAUAAGCGUCGGCUAACUACGUGCCAGCAGCCGCGGUAAGACGUAGGACGCAAGCGUUAUCCGGAUUUACUGGGCGUAAAGCGCCUGUAGGCGGUCAAGUAAGUCGGAUGUGAAAGCCCCGUGCUCAACGCGGGGAAGCCAUUCGAUACUGCGUGACUAGAGAACGGCAGAGGGAAACGGAAUUUCUGGUGUAGCGGUAAAAUGCGCAGAGAUCAGAAAGAACACCGAUGGCGAAGGCAGUUUCCUAGGCCGCAUCUGACGCUGAGAGGCGAAAGCUAGGGGAGCAAACAGGAUUAGAGACCCUGGUAGUCCUAGCUGUAAACGAUGGAUGCUAGGUGUGGGCCGGAAAGGUCCGUGCCGCAGUUAACGCGAUAAGCAUCCCGCCUGGGGAGUACGGCCGCAAGGCUAAAACUCAAACGAAUUGACGGGGACCCGCACAAGCAGCGGAGCGUGUGGUUUAAUUCGAUGCUACACGCAGAACCUUACCUGGGCUUGACAUGUAGGUGGUAGUGAAGUGAAAGCGGAGCGACCCUUCGGGGAGCCUACACAGGUGCUGCAUGGCUGUCGUCAGCUCGUGCCGUGAGGUGUCGGGUUAAGUCCUGUAACGAGCGCAACCCUUUUCGUUAGUUACAAGUGUGUAAGGAGACUGCCGGUGACAAACCGGAGGAAGGUGGGGACGACGUCAAGUCAGC
This 1070-nucleotide ribosomal RNA is filed under the name uncultured organism. Its description in RNAcentral is "bacterial SSU rRNA". It matches the Rfam family "Bacterial small subunit ribosomal RNA", at positions 100 to 1194 of the family's 1533-position model. The record is from RNAcentral.